RNAcentral lists this ribosomal RNA (336 nucleotides) under Ariadna sp. Its description in RNAcentral is "partial small subunit ribosomal RNA". The record is from RNAcentral. Lineage: Eukaryota; Metazoa; Arthropoda; Arachnida; Araneae; Segestriidae.
GCACAUUUGUUUACUUUUUCAUAACCGAUUAUUAUUCGAUGAUUGGAUUCAAAUCCUUUUUGGGAGCGCUUAGGGGUAGGUUUGAGGCUCGUCCUUAAAUAGCGUUUAUAGUAACUCAUUCUGUCUUUUCUAUGGGCUACACCUUGACCUGAUUUGUUAGGUGGGCUGUUAGGAAUAUAAUUUAUAAAGCUAUUCUUGAAACGGCGGUAUAUAGGCUGAAUAAGAAAAGUGAGAUUUAUCGCGGAUURUCGAUUAGGGAACAAGUUCCUCUGAUUAGAGCUAAUGCCGCCAAACUACUUUGGUUUUUCUGGCAGAUACUACCUAAUGGGGGAGAGG